GAGCCACGCCCCCUGGCUGAACCGUUGUCCAAUGAGAAGCCGAGGUCUCCAGGUGGCCGAGGCCGUCGUCCAAUCAGGAUCUUCGGCACCCACGACGGCCGAGCCCCUCGUCCAAUGGCAAGGAGCCGCCCCAAGGGGCCAUCCAAUCAGCUGGCUGCCCAAAUCCAUCGGCCAAUCACAAGGGGCAGCGUUCCAGUUGGCCAAACCCAUCAGCCAAUCACAAGCCACGGCGUUGCAGGUCGCCAAACCCAUCGGCCAAUGACGGUUGGCCAAACCCCGCAGUCAACGUCUGAUUGGCCGAACCAUGAGCCAGCGGUGAGCCACGGCGUUCUGAUUGGCUAAACCCAUCAGUCGAUGACCAAUCGCGGCGCUCCAGUUGGCCAAAACCCAUCGCCCAAUGUUCUGUUGGCCAAAUCCAUCAACCGAUGUCCAACCACAGCAUCCCAGUUGGCUGAACCCAUCAACCAGUGACGAAUGAUGGCAUUCCAGUUGGCCAAACCCAUUGGACAAUGUUCCGUUGGCCAAACCCUUCAGUCAAUCACAAGCCACGGCGUACCAGUUGGCCAAAUCCAUCGGUCGAUGGCCAACCACAGCGUCCCAGUUGGCCAAACCCAUUGCCCAAUGUCCAGUUGACCAAACCUUUCAGUCCAUGACCAACCACAGUGUCCCAGUUGGCCAAACCCAUCAACCAAUAACCAAUCACGGCGUUCCAGUUGGCCAAACCCAUUAGCCAAUGGCAAACGAUGGCAUUCCCGAUGGUCAAAUCCACUGGCCGAUGUCCAGUUGGCCAAACCCAUCAACCAAUGACGAUCAAUGGUGUUCCAGUUGGCCAAACCCAUCGCCCAAUGUUCCAGUUGGCCAAACCCUUCAAUUGAUGGCCAACCACAGCAUCCCACUUGACCAAACCCAUCAACUAAUGACAAAUGACGGCGUUCCAGUUGGCCAAACCCAUCAACCAAUGACAACUAAUGGUACUCCACUUGGCCAAAUCCAUCGCCCAAUGUUCUGUUGGCCAAACCCAUCAACUGAUGGCCAACCACAGCGUCCCAGUUGGCCGCCCCCACCAGCCAACAUCCAGUUGGCCACGCCAUCAUCCUGCCGACCAAGCACCGCUCUCCAGUUGCCCGAGCCCACCCCCCAGCGGCCCCCCUCACCCUGAUGUCACCGCCCCGAAGCCGGGCCGUCCCCCGGCAGCACCGAACCCCGGCUGCCGAGAGCGCGGGCGCCCACCCUGAGCGGUGCCGGGGCACGAUGGAGGGGGGUGGGCCGGGCGCCCGCCGCGCAACUCAAUGCACCAAGACCUUGAU
This 1307-nucleotide long non-coding RNA is filed under the name Anas platyrhynchos platyrhynchos (common mallard). RNAcentral describes it as "lncRNA (ENSAPLG00000031254.1)". Lineage: Eukaryota; Metazoa; Chordata; Aves; Anseriformes; Anatidae. The record is from RNAcentral.